This 756-nucleotide ribosomal RNA is filed under the name uncultured bacterium. RNAcentral's name for it is "bacterial SSU rRNA". It matches the Rfam family "Bacterial small subunit ribosomal RNA", at positions 45 to 796 of the family's 1533-position model. The record is from RNAcentral.
GGCCUAACACAUGCAAGUCGAGCGGUAGAGAGAAGCUUGCUUCUCUACAGAGCGGCGGACGGGUGAGUAAUGCCUAGGAAUCUGCCUGGUAGUGGGGGAUAACGUUCGGAAACGGACGCUAAUACCGCAUACGUCCUACGGGAGAAAGCAGGGGACCUUCGGGCCUUGCGCUAUCAGAUGAGCCUAGGUCGGAUUAGCUAGUUGGUGAGGUAAUGGCUCACCAAGGCGACGAUCCGUAACUGGUCUGAGAGGAUGAUCAGUCACACUGGAACUGAGACACGGUCCAGACUCCUACGGGAGGCAGCAGUGGGGAAUAUUGGACAAUGGGCGAAAGCCUGAUCCAGCCAUGCCGCGUGUGUGAAGAAGGUCUUCGGAUUGUAAAGCACUUUAAGUUGGGAGGAAGGGUUGUAGAUUAAUACUCUGCAAUUUUGACGUUACCGACAGAAUAAGCACCGGCUAACUCUGUGCCAGCAGCCGCGGUAAUACAGAGGGUGCAAGCGUUAAUCGGAAUUACUGGGCGUAAAGCGCGCGUAGGUGGUUUGUUAAGUUGGAUGUGAAAUCCCCGGGCUCAACCUGGGGACUGCAUUCAAAACUGACUGACUAGAGUAUGGUAGAGGGUGGUGGAAUUUCCUGUGUAGCGGUGAAAUGCGUAGAUAUAGGAAGGAACACCAGUGGCGGAGGCGACCACCUGGACUAAUACUGACACUGAGGUGCGAAAGCGUGGGGAGCAAACAGGAUUAGAUACCCUGGUAGUCC